Molecule: long non-coding RNA, 2214 nt
Filed under: Salmo salar (Atlantic salmon)
Lineage: Eukaryota; Metazoa; Chordata; Actinopteri; Salmoniformes; Salmonidae
Description: lncRNA (ENSSSAG00000093731.1, ENSSSAG00000100758.1)
Source: RNAcentral
CCCAUUCAUAAUAGUGGAAACAAGUAUCAUCAAUCACCCAUUCAUAAUAGUAGAAACAAGUAUCAUCAAUCACCCAUUCAUAAUAGUAGAAACAAGUAUCAUCAAUCACCCAUUCAUAAUAGUAGAAACAAGUAUCAUCAAUCACCCAUUCAUAAUAGUGGAAACAAGUAUCAUCAAUCACCCAUUCAUAAUAGUGGACUAUUCCACCCUGACAGAGUUCCAGUGAAUUGUUUCGCACCGUAUUGAUUGCAAACGCGACUUUCGUGAAAUUAAGCUGAAGCAAUGAGGUGUUUCAGAGCGGGGCAGCUGCAGCAAUGAGAUGCUUUCAGAGCGGGGCAGCUGCAGCAAUGAGAUGCUUUCAGAGCGGGGCAGCUGCAGCAAUGAGAUGCUUUCAGAGCGGGGCAGCUGCAGUAAUGAGGUGUUUCAGAGCGGGGCAGCUGCAGCAAUGAGAUGCUUUCGGAGCGGGGCAGCUGCAGCAAUGAGAUGCUUUCAGAGCGGGGCAGCUGCAGCAAUGAGGUGCUUUCAGAGCGGGGCAGCUGCAGCAAUGAGAUGCUUUCAGAGCGGGGCAGCUGCAGCAAUGAGAUGCUUUCAGAGUGGGGCAGCUGCAGCAAUUAUGUGUUUUCAGAGCGGGGCAGCUGCAGCAAUGAGAUGCUUUCAGAGCGGGGCAGCUGCAGCAAUGAGAUGCUUUCAGAGCGGGGCAGCUGCAGUAAUGAGGUGUUUCAGAGCGGGGCAGCUGCAGCAAUGAGAUGCUUUCAGAGCGGGGCAGCUGCAGCAAUGAGAUGCUUUCAGAGCGGGGCAGCUGCAGCAAUGAGGUGCUUAAAGAGCGGGGCAGCUGCAGUAAUGAGAUGCUUUCAGAGCGGGGCAGCUGCAGUAAUGAGGUGUUUCAGAGCGGGGCAGCUGCAGCAAUGAGGUGCUUAAAGAGCGGGGCAGCUGCAGUAAUGAUGUGUUUCAGAGCAGGGCAGCUGCAGCAAUGAGAUGCUUUCAGAGCGGGGCAGCUGCAGCAAUGAGAUGCUUUCAGAGCGGGGCAGCUGCAGCAAUGAGAUGCUUUCAGAGCAGGGCAGCUGCAGUAAUGAGAUGCUUUCAGAGCAGGGCAGCUGCAGCAAUGAGAUGCUUUCAGAGCGGGGCAGCUGCAGUAAUGAGAUGCUUUCAGAGCGGGGCAGCUGCAGCAAUGAGAUGCUUUCAGAGCGGGGCAGCUGCAGUAAUGAGGUGUUUCAGAGCGGGGCAGCUGCAGCAAUGAGAUGAUUUCAGAGCGGGGCAGCUGCAGCAAUGAGAUGCUUUCAGAGCGGGGCAGCUGCAGCAAUGAGAUGUUUUCAGAGCGGGGCAGCUGCAGUAAUGAGGUGCUUUCAGAGCGGGGCAGCUGCAGUAAUGAGGUGCUUUCAGAGCAGGGCAGCUGCAGUAAUGAGGUGCUUUCAGAGCAGGGCAGCUGCAGUAAUGAGGUGCUUUCAGAGCUGGCAGAGAAAAGAAAUAACAAAUAUUUAAUUUUAACAGAAACAUUACAUAAGUUAACGCAUUUCUUUAGUAAAGAUACAUUUGCUGCUGAUAAUACUGCCAUCGUUGUGGAGACAAACAACAACGUCUGUUUAGCCCAUGUAUCUGAUGCUGUCUGGCUAAAAAUAGUAUGGAAUGUCAUACUCCUUUUGUCCAGACAGCAUCAGAUACAUGCGCUACAUAUAGUAAGACAGAGGGGCGCUGUUUCGCUCGCUUGGAUACUUUCUCCGGUGAGAUGGUUUCAUCCACUUGCAAUUGAAGGAAAGUUGACGGGUGCACAGUGCACUGUUAGGAUGCUGGAAUUAUUUUUGGAUUAACGUGAGAAGGUAACCUACUUUUUUGAAGUGAUUUGUUUGACAAAUCACACUGGCCUCUGCCUGGGGUCUCCAUAUCACUAAGUCCGCCCCCUGAGCUGGACACAACAUUUUGGAACUUUUGAAUCUGUAUCAAAUUAUAUCUAAUGAAAAGUAAUGACAUAAAACCUGUGGAAACAGCCCGUAUAAAAUACAAAUAAAUUGUUUUCUUAAGCCAAUCAACAUUUGUCCUUAGCUGCAGAUAAUGCAAUCCCUCAAUCUGUAGCCUACCACCGCUCUGAGGAUCAAUAUCGCUUAUGUUCCAGCGCCCUCUGUUGAAUAUGAGCAGUCAUUACAUCAUGUCUACAGACUCCAUUCAAUUGACGGUCCGCAGGCAAACGUUAAAGGUGCGAAACCUGACUUCUCCUGUUCA